Zalophus californianus (California sea lion) is the source of this 572-nucleotide long non-coding RNA. RefSeq lists it as uncharacterized. The record is from RefSeq and is a predicted model, not a curated record. The transcript has 4 exons. NCBI's taxonomy places the organism in Eukaryota, Metazoa, Chordata, Mammalia, Carnivora, Otariidae.
CAGCCAUUGAAGAGGCAUCUGGAGCUUGCAGGAUCUUCAAAAACAGGCACACUUGGAUUUGGUCUGCAAACCUGAUUUUGCCCACCCUUGCUCUAGACCAACAGAGAAAGCACAAUAUGGAGGCGCUUUGAUUCCCAGAAAAUAGACUUUCAAAGGAUAAACCAGCUUGCUGUUGGGGUUAUUUUCAUCACUCCAAGGGAGGGACCUUAUACGAGAUGGAUUCAACUCAGAUGCUGACGCUCCCUUUGCUGCUGCAGAUGGCUGGAACCUGCCUUUGGCAUCUGGGUGGCAUAUGCCUGGCCUCCCCCUGGAAAAGCCCAGCUGGAUCCCUGCUGCUAGGGGCAUCUGGGCAAGGGUGUUUCUCACUUCCAUUCCCUACAGCAUAAGGGGAAAAAGAAAAGAUAAAGUUGAAACACCACAAAGGACCAACUCCCCUGAAGCAACGAAGUUGCAGUGGAAUUGAAUCUCCUGGACAUUUCCGUAAAAUGUUUGAAACACGAAAGGAUUUACACACAGCUUUUCAGGAGGGCUUGGAGAGCUCUGCUACUUUGCGAAUAGAAGUCGAACCUCUC